Molecule: ribosomal RNA, 467 nt
Filed under: uncultured Pseudomonadota bacterium
Lineage: Bacteria; Pseudomonadati; Pseudomonadota
Description: bacterial SSU rRNA
Rfam family: Bacterial small subunit ribosomal RNA
Source: RNAcentral
UGGGGAAUAUUGGACAAUGGGCGAAAGCCUGAUCCAGCAAUGCCGCGUGAGUGAUGAAGGCCUUAGGGUUGUAAAGCUCUUUUACCCGGGAUGAUAAUGACAGUACCGGGAGAAUAAGCUCCGGCUAACUCCGUGCCAGCAGCCGCGGUAAUACGGAGGGAGCUAGCGUUAUUCGGAAUUACUGGGCGUAAAGCGCACGUAGGCGGCUUUGUAAGUUAGAGGUGAAAGCCUGGAGCUCAUCUCCAGAAUUGCCUUUAAGACUGCAUCGCUUGAAUCCAGGAGAGGUGAGUGGAAUUCCGAGUGUAGAGGUGAAAUUCGUAGAUAUUCGGAAGAACACCAGUGGCGAAGGCGGCUCACUGGACUGGUAUUGACGCUGAGGUGCGAAAGCGUGGGGAGCAAACAGGAUUAGGAUACCCUGGUAGUCCACGCCGUAAACGAUGAUAACUAGCUGUCGGGGCUCGUUAGAG